Long non-coding RNA from Megalobrama amblycephala (Wuchang bream), 1087 nucleotides. RefSeq lists it as uncharacterized. The transcript is spliced from 3 exons. NCBI's taxonomy places the organism in Eukaryota, Metazoa, Chordata, Actinopteri, Cypriniformes, Xenocyprididae. The record is from RefSeq and is a predicted model, not a curated record.
UCUCAGGUAUUGCAGAAGAGUCAACGGAUGUCUGGUUCAGAUGCCUGAUUCCCGCUUGAUUCCUGUAAUGUCUUGGACUGCUCGAUACUGCAAUCCCAAACGUGAAGGUGUUUGUGGGAAAGUUCUCCUCCUCUCUGACCCUGCACCACGGCCCCUAGACGGAGACGUCACACUGAGAAAGAGGCUCCUGGCCCCGGCCCCGCGUUGGUGCCCAAUAAACCAAACGUUCGGCCUCAGCUAAUGAUUUAGAGCAGCAGCCUCUAGAUUAUUACCAACACCGACCUACAGAUCUCCCACAACAGAGUGAGAGGAAAUUAUCCUCGACUGGAGUGCUGGGAGGGCGAGAGGAAAUGGAUGGAGAGGCCGGUCUUAUCUGCGGGACCGCUCCGUUCCCAAAACCCCUGGGCUGAAGAACUGGAUCUGGCAGGUCCUGGGUUUACUGUGGUCCCUGACCGCCCACUACCUGCAGGGCUCAAAUAGCCUCUCUUGUGUUUUUAUGAUGCAUGAUUUGAAUUGAAAGUUCUUGUGAAACCUUCUUCUGAGAAAACAUACUUUUGCCUUCUUCAACGGCAAGUCAGGUGGCAAACGCUCCGUCGCCGUAACUCUUUCCUUGCCAAACUCAGUCUUUUAUUAUAUAUACAGUAGAAUUGCAUUUUAAUAUAUUUCUAAAAAGUUUACUAGAAGUACUUUGGUAAUAACUAUUCUUAGUAAUGUUUUUAAGAAAUAAGCUUAACACAAGCAUACUUUAAGUGAAAUUUUAGUGUAUUUACAGAAAACAUACUUAUUUUACUCUUACUCAAAGUAUAUUUUAUGUGUAUUUUGUGUAAGAACAUUUCUAUCAGAACUGAUCUAAGCCCAUUUGCUCCUUGUAAUAUUGUAUUUGUUUCACACACAGUAUUUGGUCACUCAGGUUUAAAUGAAAUAUUGCUUCAAAAGUCAGAUUUGGGGUUACUUCAUAUUACUAUAGUUUUUUAUUUUAUUUUAUUUUAUUUUACAGGCAGUUUCACUUUGUCAAGAUGAGAUGGAAAAAAAUGGCAUGAAAUUAUGAAACAAAUAUUAAUGGGAAAAAAAUCAUUUAUUGAACAAG